Molecule: long non-coding RNA, 3823 nt
Organism: Neofelis nebulosa (Clouded leopard)
Lineage: Eukaryota; Metazoa; Chordata; Mammalia; Carnivora; Felidae
Exons: 2
Source: RefSeq, a predicted model, not a curated record
CCCACUCCAUCAGCGGCUGCUUCUCUUUCUGGGUGGCAGACCAGAGGUCCACCUUUUCCCUCCAGAUUCAGAUCUCUCGGGGUCACCCCAGACCCCCGGUUUCUCUUCACUGAGCCCGUAUCAGUCUACGACUUAAACAUCUUUAAGGCUCACACCCUUCUGCCACCUGCUGAGCGCUGGUCCCAGCUGUCCCGUCUUAGCAGCCUCCGAAUGGCGUUCCCCACCCAGCAGCCACCCCCACCAGCACUAUCACCCUGAUGCUUUAGCCCGAGGCCCCUUCCCAACAGUGGUCACUGGCUCCAAUGCCAGACACGGACCUCAUGUGUCCAGGCCCAGCCCAGCAGCCACCUGUGUCUGGUGGCGCUAGAGCCCUCCCAAGGAGACUGCAGAGGGAAGACGGCGCCAUGCCAAGCCCACGUCUCCAGAAGCUUCUAGUGCUCACACGGGAGUAUGCAGACUAUCUGCUUGACCUGUCUUUAAAGCCACAGCCCCGAUGCUCUGCACCACCUGGCCCAGCGACCGCUAGAACACUCUAAGUCACUGUCGACAAGUAGCCUGCGCCAGCCUCCCUGGAUGGGCUGAAGCGGGGCCGCGUGCCCAGCUCCAGGCACCAAAACCCAGCAAGGGAGAGGCCCGGGUCUGGAAGGGCAGGAAGGGGGCGGCUUCCCCACCCCUCUCCUUUACUCAACUCUGGACCCUACCCGGGGCUUUGCCGGCAGACUGGGGGUGAGCGGCUGUCCCAAGGCUUUCCCCUGGACAAGUGCCCCCGCCCACUCCUGCUCCUGGACCCUAUGUAGCUCCAGUGGCCACAGGAUCCCCCUGGCAUGUCUACCAGCCGACUGGGGGUGGGAGACACAGAGCAAACAGAGGGAGCUUUCCUGGCCACUGGCCACAGCGGAGCUCCAGACCUUCCUUUCUCAACAGCCCCCCAUCCCCCAGAAGCAUUUGCCCCUGACUAGUCCCUGUUGGAGGGUCACACUUGAUCACCUAGAGUCCGUCCAGAAGGGUGGCCUCGGAUGCACCUUGCAAAGGACAUUUCAAUCACGAUCUCCUACUCCCCCUUACACACCAACAACACCCAUAACCACUCCUGCUUCCGACCCAACCUGCUUCCCUACCCCUCACCGACCACCCAAAGCCCCCUCCCACCCCCCCACCAUUUCAGGCAAAUGACAGCGUCACCAAGCGGCCCUCUGCCAGUGCUGCCGCAGAGCCUCCGCCAGGCACUGGGACCCGAAACCCAGGGGCAUCGGUGCGGACAACUCCUCGCUCGGUGGGUGGGAGGGCCCUCACCAAUACCUUGUACUCCCCGGAGCCCUGGCCCUGGCCUCACCUGGCUGCCACCCCACAGGAGAAAACCACCCACUCAGGCCACCCUCCUCGCGGCCAGCCUGCACUUGGAGAGCCCUACCUGGCAGGCAGCGCUUGAUCAAAGACCCCUCACCAAGGCCACAACACCUAAGCUCCUGAAGAAGAGGGUUUCACCAGGUAACCACAAGGCUGCUCUCUGUGCCGCCCGGUUCCUGCUCGGGACCUCCUGGGCAGGCCACCCUGCCAGUGAGCACCAGGUUUGGGGGCACCUCGGUGAGGCAGUGGGCCUGGCCUCAUCAGUCUGGCCGCAGCUCUGGCCAAGAGACCGAGCCCUCUCCAACGGGCCUCCCCUGGGUUGCUUCAGGGUUCACCGCUCACUCCAUGACCUCAGAACAAGUUAGGGAUAAAGGGGACCCUGGGUUUGUGCCUGCUGCACCUGAGACCUCAGGUCUUGGCUGCAGGGCAGGGAGCACUCUCUUGGGGCCCAGGGGUAAGUGCUCCCCGGAAUCUCUCCCAUCAGGCCGAGCUUGGCCCAAGCUGAGCUGAGAAGAGCACCCCCUUGGGCUCAUCCGCAUGCCAGCCGGCUGGGCAUCGGUGGGGCGUGAAUGCCUGAGGCUCUGCACAGCCCUCCCAUCCACCCUGCCGUGGGGCCUGGGGCAGCUGAGGGGGCCUCUCCAGUGUCCACAGGGAACGACCUGGAACAGCAGGAGGGGGUACAGCUCAGGGACCCUCUCUGCUGUGUUCCCCGCAAAGACAUGCCUCGGGUCUGCCCAUCCUCCCCCCUUGGGCCCCCCCCCACAGGCAAAGGGGGCACCAACUCCUAGCUGGGCUGGAACAUCGGGCAGGAGCCUCCAACUGAGGGAGCCCACGGGGGCUCACGGUGACCCGGGCCCAGUCUCCGCUCAGGCCCCAUAAAUCCUGGGGCUGAAAAGACAGAAUGGGAAGGGGCAGAGGGCUCGGCUGACGCCCCCUGACCCAGCCACUUCCCGCCAAGCCUGGUAGCCGUGUCCAAAGUCACGGGCGCCGUCGGCCUGGCAUCCCAGCUCCUCAGUCCCCCUCCGGCUUGUGGCCUGCCACUUGUAGUAACUCUGGGUCCCAGCGCCCUUCCCCCUGGCCCCACCCUCUUUCAAGGCCAACUCAGGUCUCCCUCCAGGAAGCCCUCCCAGGCCCCCCGGGGGCACAACACCCACUCAGCACAGGCAGCCCACCCUCCCUGGCGGCAGGAAGGCCACUCUGCCUGCUGGUGGGGCCUCCACUUCCCUUCUCUUGUCUCCCUGCCCAGCACCCAAGCCGGGCCUGGGUCAGUAAACAAAUAUGCCUGAAGACACCGCACAGAGAGACUCUUUGUCUGGUGUCGGCAUUCAAGGAAACGCAGCUUCGUGCCAUCACGGCCCCAGAGUGGCGGCCUCAGACCUUCCUGACCCGACCACAGGCAGCAGGACAGCGGGCAGCGUCCACGAGGGGGUUUUCAGGGCGAGUCUGCUCCCCACAAGGGCACCCUUGUUCUCACAGAGGCCCGGCGGCCUCCGCGGGAGAUGGGAGUACUCGCUGCUCGCUGUGCAAGGUGUUAGACGCGAUCUGCACAGCAGCCCCUCUUUCCCUCGCCGCGGCGGGCGGUGUAGGCACUGACAUGAAUGCCCGCGGUCACUCGGCGGGAAGUGGCUGAGCAGUGCUGGCCUCCCGCUCCCCUGCCUCUCCCACUGCGAGACCUCCCCCCACGCCAGCCCCGGGGUGGGGGGGCGUCCUGAGCAGGACGGGGACGCGGAAGCAGGGGCAGGGGCAGGGGCAGGGGCAGGCACACCCCGCCGCCCAGCAAGCUGCAGACGGCCGGCCCGCUGCCUGGGGAGGAUGGUCCCCCCACCCCCACCCCGCACCGGCCGAGUCAGGGGCCGCCUACCGCCCAGGCACCUCCACCCAGCUGGCCAGCCCAGCUGGCAGGCACAGCUGGGGAGGGGGCUGCAGAUCUGGACGGGACACAGUUCACCGUGACAGAAAAACGGCAUUCUUUCUUAGCAUAAGCGUAUCUGGCCCAGAGGAACUGAAAUGAAAGCAAGGACUGGAACAGAAUCUCGCACGCCCCUGUGCACAGCGGCUGCCUCACAACAGCCGGAAGGUGAAAACAACCCGUGUCCGUCCACGCAGAAGUGGGUCACAAAAUGUGGCAGAGCCACAGGACGGAAUAUUACUCAGCCUCAACAAGUAACGAAGUGCGACACCUGCUCCGACGUGGAGGCACCUGACCUUGCCAACGCCGUGCGGAGUGAAAGAAACCAGACUUGAAGCAACAAAUACCGUGUGACUCCCUGUACGCGGAGGCCCCCACGGUCGUCAGAGUCACAGUGACAGGGCGGAAGGUGGGCGCCAGGGGCCAGGGCGGGGCUGGGGAGUCCGUGUCCACUGGGGAGAGAGGUCCAGUGGGGGAAGAUGAGAAAAUUCUGGAGACGGAUGGUGUGGACAGUGCAUAUGUGCUUAAUGACCCUGACCUGUACACAAAAACGGUUAAAAUGCUAAA